This is an RNA transcript of Pipistrellus kuhlii (Kuhl's pipistrelle), 1998 nucleotides long. It is a transcript of the gene named exosome component 2, with no coding region annotated. Lineage: Eukaryota; Metazoa; Chordata; Mammalia; Chiroptera; Vespertilionidae. The transcript has 9 exons. The record is from RefSeq and is a predicted model, not a curated record.
CGGGCCGCGCCUGCGCAAUUCAUUGGCGCCAAGAUGGCGAUGGAGAUGAGGCUGCCGGUGGCUCGCAAGCCUCUUAGCGAGAGUCUGGGCCGCGAGACUAAGAAACACCUGGUGGUGCCAGGGGACACGAUCACCACGGACACGGGCUUCAUGCGGGGCCACGGGACUUACAUGGGGGAAGAGAAACUUAUUGCAUCCGUGGCCGGUUCUGUGGAAAGAGUAAACAAGUUGGUCUGUGUGAAAGCUUUGAAAACCAGAUACAAUGGUGAAGUAGGGGACAUCGUGGUGGGGAGGAUCACAGAGGUUCAGCAGAAGAGGUGGAAGGUGGAGACGAACUCCAGGCUGGAUUCCGUCUUGCUGCUUUCUUCCAUGAACCUUCCAGGAGGAGAGCUGAGGAGAAGAUCUGCAGAAGACGAGCUGGCCAUGAGAGGCUUCUUGCAGGAAGGAGACCUCAUCAGUGCUGAGGUGCAGGCAGUGUUCUCUGACGGAGCUGUUUCCCUGCACACGAGGAGUCUGAAAUACGGAAAACUAGGUCAGGGUGUUCUGGUCCAGGUGUCCCCCUCCCUGGUGAAGCGGCAGAAGACUCACUUCCAUGACCUGCCUUGUGGUGCCUCAGUGAUUCUGGGUAACAACGGCUUCAUCUGGAUCUACCCUACCCCUGAGCACAAAGAAGAGGACGCAGGGGGCUUCAUUGCAAACCUGGAGCCUGUCUCCCUUACUGAGCAAGAGGAUCUCCCGGCUUUGGAGAUCACUAAUUGAGCCGCACUGGCCAGGGCAAGAUGCUGACGUUAUUAAGAAAUGCCAGAAUUCCUGUGCACUGGUUUGUCUGAUGUUUAAAAAAUGGUUUAAAGGCACUGUUUCUGUUCUUGUGUCCUUUGUAAUACUUGAGAACUGAGUACAGUUGAAGGAGGACAUAGCAGAUAAACAUUCUGCCAGAGGCUCUAACUACUGAGGUCACCUAAUAAAAAUUUAAACCUAGGAGAGUUUCAAUGGUGGUAACAUGGAACACUGUUUUUGACAAUUUUGAAUAAAGUUUGGCUGUUUUUCAUUAAGUGAUAUAUAUAUAUAUUCAAUAUAUUUUUAUUGAUUUUCAGAGAGGAAGGGAUGGCAGAGAGAAAUAUCAAUAAUGAGACAAUAGGCUGCCUCCUGCACACCCCCUACUGGGGAUUGAGCCCACAAUCCAGGCAAGUGCCCUGAUAGGGAAUUGAAAAGUGAUUUCCUGGUUCAUAGGUCGAGACACCACAGAGCCACAUCAGCCAGGCAUAAAGGGUAUAUUUCUUGUUUAUAAUACUCAAUAGACAAUUUUUAAAUAUCUCAUUCUUUUUCUGUUCCAAGUGUAUCAGUUGUUUUGAGGAGUUUGCAGACAACUGAAUAUUCUACAGGCUGUUGCAACUUAGGUUUGCUUACCUGUCAUUUUUGAGAACACAGGCCAGGCCAUAUGCCUCUUGAGAGAAGGGAAUAAAAGAUGGGAGCUCGAGUCCCUGGUUUGGUUUGGUUUUAACCAAGGCCAUAUGUGAGCUUAUUGAAAGUUAUUCUUCUCAAUGAACCAUCCCGAGCUGCCAACCUAUGCUGUUCAGUAUCUGCUGAAGGGUGGUACCUCAGAGUAGAAAUAAGAGGGCUAAAGCACCUUUUAGUGGUUAUUUUCUGUGGCCCACUAGAGGGCGCCCUUGUUAAGUAUAUUCUAGCGGGCGGAAGAAAUGGAAUAAACUGAACGGAAUAGGAUAGAUGAAUUACACCGGUACUGAAGCCCUUUAGCAAUUUGGUGGAUCUAUUGUCAGGAUUUCCUGGGCUCUGUUUCAAGUUCUCAAAAUAUUCUACAGUGUUCUACACGGGGUAAAAAAGUAUAUUGAAUCUCUAAAAAUAUAGACUGGGCUUGGGGCUCACCUAAAAUUAGAAAAUGGCUAAAGUAGAGAAUGGAGAUUUGGGAUAAGUGUUUAGAUUAAGUACAGCUGGCCUCUAUACUGACUUUCAUAAAACAAUUUCAAUUUUUGUGGAAAA